CCGUGCUAGGCGGGGAUGUAGCGGCACCCUGAACCCGCAAUCCGCUCUAGCGGGGCUGAAUCCCCUCCCGAGGGGUGAGGCCACGGGGCCAGCGGUGCCGUGAGUGGCGUCGAUGGACCGGGUCCCCGCGCGAUGUCGGCCCGUGAACCAGGUCAGGUCCGGAAGGAAGCAGCCUUAAGCGAUCGCCGGCAGGCGCUGCGGGAAUCCCCGGGCCGGAGCCGCGAACGGUGUCAGCGCCCGUGACCCCGCUUCGACGGAGGGUGCACGG
This 268-nucleotide signal recognition particle RNA is filed under the name Actinomycetota bacterium. Its description in RNAcentral is "signal recognition particle sRNA large type". It matches the Rfam family "Bacterial large signal recognition particle RNA". Rfam says of the family: The signal recognition particle (SRP) is a universally conserved ribonucleoprotein involved in the co-translational targeting of proteins to membranes. Archaeal SRP consists of a 7S RNA and homologues of the eukaryotic SRP19 and SRP54 proteins. The record is from RNAcentral. Lineage: Bacteria; Bacillati; Actinomycetota.